ACAUUCCUAGUAUAUAAGUACAUUUGACUUCCAAUCAAAAAGUUUGAAAAUCAAGGAUUGUA
RNAcentral lists this transfer RNA (62 nucleotides) under Scelimena melli. Its description in RNAcentral is "tRNA-Gly". Lineage: Eukaryota; Metazoa; Arthropoda; Insecta; Orthoptera; Tetrigidae. The record is from RNAcentral.